RNAcentral lists this long non-coding RNA (1343 nucleotides) under Homo sapiens (human). RNAcentral describes it as "ATP13A3 divergent transcript". The record is from RNAcentral. Lineage: Eukaryota; Metazoa; Chordata; Mammalia; Primates; Hominidae.
UCCUGGAUGCAAAUUAAAUACUUCCCUCCGCAGAAGACUUAUCUCGGGGUAGGGCCGCAGCCGGAUUUCCAAAUCGCGGGUUUGAUUUUCGCUGCGUCCUCUCCGCGACGCGCGCAGGGAGCGCGCCCGGCCACCUGCAGCCUCUGGCUGCGGCCAUCUUUCCGCCUGGGGCCACCUGGCCUGCGCCCUUUGUGCCCGGCCCGCUCCGUGACUGUUCUUCUUGCCGCUACUUACAGAACUCAGCCGCCUUAGCGUCUUAGAGAAGAGGACGGCAUGCAUGCGGACCCCGUCCACCACACCUGGAGAGCAGGGAGCCCUUAGUCCCUGGACACUUACCAGGGCCGCCACCCCUGGUCCACGCACGUGAUGACAUCUCACCAGGGGCAGCACACCGCCCGAGUCCGCGACACUGAUAACACCUCCUGCGGGCAGGAGGGCGCCACAGCCACCCCUGGUCCCCUAGAUUGUGUGAGGCUAGCAUUUCUGCCCGCCUCUUGGCGUGGACAGCACGCUGGACCGAGAUGGAACCACAGCUUUCUCUUCCCAAUCCCUGGCCUCACCGUUUUGUUUCAUACCUCACCGUUUGUUUCAAACCUCGUGGUGUUGAAAUGAUUAAAUGAGAUUAAGGGGUGUGUGGUAGUGUUGGGCAAACCACAAGAAAACGGUCUGGGUGGGGUCUGGCCCUAAAAUCUUCCUCCCCCACCUCCCAGGCUUCCUUGCCUUGCUGCUUCCUCUCAGCCUUUAAACAGGUUGGCCUCUCCAAGUCCUAAAAACAAAAUUAUCAAGCCAACCUCCUCCUGAAGUGCUCCCUCCAACUAGCUUCCAAGUGUUUCAUGCGGACCUCAAACAAUGGUCUUCCCUGGCUGCCUCUGCUUCCUCAUUUCUCAACACUUGGCAUUCUGGCUUCUCCUCCCCAACUCUAACCCUUCACCUUGCUCAGGCAAGAGCAACUCAUGACUUUCAUUUUGCCAAACCUUGCAGGCAUUCCUCAGGCCUUAUCUCUCUGGUUCUUUCUGCUACAUUUGACACCUUGGGAUGACUCUCACCUUCUGGAAUCUCUCUACUACCUUGGUUUCAGAAGAGUGAACCCUCUGGAUUAUCACAUGAAGCCUCCGCAGGUGCUUCCUCUGUCCUUCUCUAAAUGUUGCUGUUCCCCAAGGCUCAACCCAGGAUCCAUUCCUGUGUCUACACAAGCUUGCCUGUGUGGACUCCUGCCUGCUCUCUGUGCCAGGAUCCCGUGACAUGAAACAGAAUAAGUGCUUCAUAAACGGGAGUGACACUAGGCGUGGUGGCAUGCAUCUGGAGUCCUAGCUACGCGGGAGGCUGAGGCAGGAGGAUUGCCU